UCCAGACUCCUACGGGAGGCAGCAGUGAGGAAUAUUGGUCAAUGGGCUUACGCCUGAACCAGCCAAGUCGCGUGAGGGAAGACUGCCCUAUGGGUUGUAAACCUCUUUUGUCAGGGAGCAACGCCGGCUACGUGUAGCCGGACUGAGAGUACCUGAAGAAAAAGCAUCGGCUAACUACGUGCCAGCAGCCGCGGUAAUACGUAGGUGGCAAGCGUUGUCCGGAUUUACUGGGUGUAAAGGGCGUGUAGCCGGGCUGACAAGUCAGAUGUGAAAUUCCGGGGCUCAACCCCGGACCUGCAUUUGAAACUGUUGGUCUUGAGUAUCGGAGAGGCAGGCGGAAUUCCUAGUGUAGCGGUGAAAUGCGUAGAUAUUAGGAGGAACACCAGUGGCGAAGGCGGCCUGCUGGACGACAACUGACGGUGAGGCGCGAAAGCGUGGGGAGCAAACAGGAUUAGAUACCCGCGUA
This 466-nucleotide ribosomal RNA is filed under the name uncultured bacterium. RNAcentral's name for it is "bacterial SSU rRNA". It matches the Rfam family "Bacterial small subunit ribosomal RNA", at positions 330 to 792 of the family's 1533-position model. The record is from RNAcentral.